This 891-nucleotide ribosomal RNA is filed under the name Bacillus subtilis. Its description in RNAcentral is "bacterial SSU rRNA". It matches the Rfam family "Bacterial small subunit ribosomal RNA", at positions 44 to 920 of the family's 1533-position model. The record is from RNAcentral. Lineage: Bacteria; Bacillati; Bacillota; Bacilli; Caryophanales; Bacillaceae.
GUGCGGCAUCCAUUUCGAGCGGACAGAUGGGAGCUUGCUCCCUGAUGUUAGCGGCGGACGGGUGAGUAACACGUGGGUAACCUGCCUGUAAGACUGGGAUAACUCCGGGAAACCGGGGCUAAUACCGGAUGGUUGUUUGAACCGCAUGGUUCAAACAUAAAAGGUGGCUUCGGCUACCACUUACAGAUGGACCCGCGGCGCAUUAGCUAGUUGGUGAGGUAACGGCUCACCAAGGCAACGAUGCGUAGCCGACCGAGAGGGUGAUCGGCCACACUGGGACUGAGACACGGCCCAGACUCCUACGGGAGGCAGCAGUAGGGAAUCUUCCGCAAUGGACGAAAGUCUGACGGAGCAACGCCGCGUGAGUGAUGAAGGUUUUCGGAUCGUAAAGCUCUGUUGUUAGGGAAGAACAAGUACCGUUCGAAUAGGGCGGUACCUUGACGGUACCUAACCAGAAAGCCACGGCUAACUACGUGCCAGCAGCCGCGGUAAUACGUAGGUGGCAAGCGUUGUCCGGAAUUAUUGGGCGUAAAGGGCUCGCAGGCGGUUUCUUAAGUCUGAUGUGAAAGCCCCCGGCUCAACCGGGGAGGGUCAUUGGAAACUGGGGAACUUGAGUGCAGAAGAGGAGAGUGGAAUUCCACGUGUAGCGGUGAAAUGCGUAGAGAUGUGGAGAACACCAGUGGCGAAGGCGACUCUCUGGUCUGUAACUGACGCUGAGGAGCGAAAGCGUGGGGAGCGAACAGGAUUAGAUACCCUGGUAGUCCACGCCGUAAACGAUGAGUGCUAAGUGUUAGGGGGUUUCCGCCCCUUAGUGCUGCAGCUAACGCAUUAAGCACUCCGCCUGGGGAGUACGGUCGCCAAGACUGAAACUCAGAGGAAAUUGACGGGGGC